UAUAUUUUUAGUAACUUCGUUGUUCUUAAAGCUAUGUAAUUUUUUUCUGUAUUUUAAAGUUGAUAACUUCUUUGUCAUUUUGUGAUGGUUCUAAAAAUUAGUGUGUAAUUGUGAAAGUUUGCGUAACUUUUUUUUUGUAUUCUUAGUCUUAGCAAAGAGCGGAGAUAGAUGUCAGAUAGUUUGAUGUAACUGUACCAUAACAUCUUUCUCUCUCUCAAGGCAUUGUAAAUAAAAUUGGAUCUACAGGUAGGAAAAAAAACCAUAUUUUUUUUAAUUUUUAUUUCUUUAUUUCUUUCUAGAGUAGGCUGUGUAGAGAAACGAUGGGGGAUUUAAUGUGAGUGAGAGGAACCUGGGAUAGCUACCUGAGAAAUUGUGCUGUCAUAAAUUUAGCAUUGUCUGCCCUUCAGGAUGGGAUGUGAAAAAACAGAACUCAUAGCAAGAAAUUUGGGGGCAACAGUUGAGUUUUGUUCUUAAUGUUUUCAUAGCACUUUGCAGCCUUCUAAAAAUCUGUUUCUUUUUAAGUUUUGUUUUGAUUUAGGGGCUUUGUUCUUGAUAUUUAUGAAUGUUAUUGCUAACUUAUAGUUGAGGAGUGCUGUAAAUUUAUACUACAGUGUCUUGUAAUAUAAAUUAAUAUUACUUUUCUUUGUUUCAGAUUAUUUUAUUAGAUUGUAAAAAAUAUAUAUUAGAUUGUAAAAAAAUAAAUGCUGUCAAAACAGUGUCAGAUGCUGUGGUGUAUCUAUAGGUGAAGACGCUGAUCACUGUAUUCAGCAGAUCUGUGAUAAUGUUUCUUGAAGUAGUAUUAUGCACAGCCCUAUUCAGAGAUGAACUGCAAAGAUGUCUUUUUAUUUGUCCCAGAGGAAGAGGAAAUAAUUAGGAAACUAAUGAGCUAUACAUUAUGUUUUUUCCAUUGUAAAAAUUAUUCAGGUGGUAUAGACUAAUUGAACUGCAGUCAGACUAAGGUCAUACGGAUGACGUACUGAAUUACUUAGUGUAUUAUCAAGCUCUUCCUCUCUCCUGCCAAAUCUGAAAUAUACUGGUUUAGUUCAGUUCUUGUAACCUUAAAAAAAAUUUUUAAAAAAUCCCAUAUUUUAGGUAUAUCCGCAUUUCGAAACAUACUUUGAGUUUGCCCAGCCUGCAUGGUGAGUGUAGUUCAUGUGUUCAUAGUGGGCUUUUCAUUUAGAUAAAUAGGUUUCAAUUAAAGUAUAAUUAAAAGUCAGCUGGUCUUUGUGUCAAACUGUUUUUGUUUAGCAGAGUUUUUUUAGAUUAUGCUUAGUCUACCCAGCUCAUUUUUAAUAAUCCGGAGUGUUGCAUUCAAUGGAAUCAUUGCAUGGGAAGUGUUUUUCCGUUAUUUGAUUUUUUUUUCUGUUUUUCAAUUAUUAGUCUGUUAAAUGGAUAGUUCCGCUGAUGUUAGAAAACAACAAAAAAACCCCAAAUAUGUUGCUCCUAUAUUGUAUUUCCAAAGAGUCUGUAUUUUGUAUAAAGUAAUGCAAUAAUUAGGGUCCUUCAUAAUUUUACCAAUCAUUAUUGUAUGCUUCAGAGCAUGAAGCAUGAUUAUUCUUUCUGUAAGCUGUUUCAGCAAAAACUACUUUUAUAUCCUAUACCUAGAAUUCAUUACAGGAAUGACAGGGAUUACAAAUGUUGGUCAGAUGCAAACCCUUUGAAAUAUUGCAAAUAAAUUGUCUUAAUUAAUUUAGGAAUUCAACAAAUGCAGCAUAAAUUAGUAUUUCCUUUUCUUUUAUUCUAAAUAGAAAAAGUUCCAGAUUCUGAGCCCAGUUUUGCACAUGCUUGCAGGCCUUACUAACACUUACUAAUUCAGAAGUGCUUGAAGAGUCACUGUAGUUCCUUGCAUAAAACUCCUACCAAGUCAGUAGGGUUUUGCUACAGUACCAAAUUCAAGCUGCUGUACAAAGUGAUUUCUUGUAUUAACCAUUGUGUUAAACAAGAGAAUUAUUGCUUUUAACUUAAUUCAGUAGUUCAGCAUAAUUCAAUUACAGUUCAAGUUCUCUUCAUUGGGCUAUUUAGAUGGUUUUUGUGUUUUAGGAAGAGAGGCACACCAGGAACAACUAAUCUAUGCUGCAUGUCUCUGUGCUACUCUUAAGAAUAUCUGUACAGCACAGUUAAUAUCUUGGAACUGUAUUUUUAAAUGGGAUGCAGGUAAUUCAACAUUUUAGAGAAAUGGCUAUGAAUUCGCUUGAGAAGCUGAGCACAGAAACAAUAUUAAACCUUUUCUUGGGCUUAUGUGUUUUCCUUUGCAGAUACUGACUUUAGUCAGAUUACUUGCCUGCCUAAAUUUAACCAUGCGUCAUGGUAGCAUUUCACAUUUUGGUGACAUCCUAAGAUCUAGUAAUUCAAUCUUUUUAAGGAGUAGAAAAUAAAGAGGAAAAAUUUGCCAGAUAUUGGUGGUGUGGACUAUUGUGUAAUGAUUCAACAGAGAAAUUAAAAAUUUGUACUUCAUGGAUAGAUAAAUUUAUUUAACAAAAUUUUAUUUACCUGAGAGUAAUUUCCUUUUCGCUAACUUACUAAGAGAUGCAAAUAUUAUUUUCAUUGUUUUGAGAACAAAUUGGACUCUGAAAUUUCUAAAGGACAGUGUGUAAACCCAAAGCACGAAAGGUCCUCUGUACAACAUUCAGAAUUGUAUUCUGGAACUUGCAUUCUUCAGAAUGGGUCUGUCUGCCUUGAUUUAAAUCCACCUCAUCCCUUGACCAACUGCUCUAUCCACUAAACUUAUUGUACACUUGAGCACAGAGUGGUCAGAGAACAUUAAUGUUCUGUAAAUCACAGGUUCUGGCUAAUGAGGCAUUCUGUGCUGAUGUGUCUCACCUGUGUUAGUAGUGAGACAGGGCAGUGGUGCAGUGAAUAAGCUUUGUGAGUCUAACAAAGCAGUGAAAUAGGUGCUUUAGGUUGUACACCAGUCACUGGAGGAGGCUGCAUCAAGAAAUGAACCUUGACUCUCUCCCAAGGUCGUACGCACCCUGAGUGCAGACCUCAAGAAUUUCUGGAGCAUGUCUUAGACUGUGCAUGUGGUGAGGACUCUCAGGUUCUCCACAAAUAGUGUUACAAUGUCAGCAUUUUGGUAUUUUCUUGAAAGACACAUUCUGAGGAAACAGUUCCAAUGUCUUCAAAUGCUUGCUAAAGGGAUUAGCAAUUUAUUUAAAAUGCAGGUGAAUGUUGUGAAGGGGAAGAACAACUCUGAGUGUAUAGCUGUUAAUUCACGAUCUUCUAUCUGAAGAGCCACAUUUGUAUAGAAGAUCUUGUCUUUAGGCAUUUAAAGACUGAAAAGGGUGAGAAAUUAAAUAAAACCCAAAGUUAUGAUACAUUCUUCUAAGCAAUGUCUUGAGCAGCUGUGAUGUGGUAUUAGUUUGUGUAAUAGUAGCAACUUCUGGGGUAAAGCUAACCAUUAAAUCCUAGCAUAUUAGCAUUUUUGAAAAAAUGCUUAUUCUUAUUUUUCAACAUUUCUUUAACAUGAAAAUUUUAUAGCAACCAACUGCGUAUCUGGGUUUCAGUUACUCUGCUGCAGUUGUAUGUAUUUGAUAACCAGCAUGCUUUUUGACACUUUUCCAAACCACAAAGUCCUUACGUUAAAAACACUGUCCAUGAUCUGAGGAUUUUUCUCUAGGAAAUGUACCCAAGUUACAGCAUAAAUUGGGCUUCUUAAACCAGCUGCUAAACUCCUUCAUACCCAUGCUUUAGUGCACUCCUGUGUGGCAGAUAGCACAGCUGAAACUAUAGGACAUGCCCUAUAUACAGCAGAGUAACUUUGCUUUACUUUGUUUAAAGCCCCAAAUGCUAGCAAAGCAACACAACAUACCCAUGACUAGCCUCGUUUUCCUGAGUGUUAGGGGCUUCAUUAAAGCUUUUUUCAGCAAUGGGAAUUUUGCUGUGGGUUUCAGUAAGAGUAUAGCUGCAGAAGUAUUUAACCAAUUGGGAACAGAUGUAUGCUAGCUAUUACAUGAUAAUAUAAUUAAUUGAUAGUGAACUGUACUGAAAAUAGUAAUUAACUAAGACUUCACUAAUCUGUUCUUCAUUAUCAAUGUGUAUUUUAAUCUGCAUUAAAUAAAUGGUAUUGUCUUCCUAAAGCUCAGCAAAGACAAAACAGUAAGACUGUUAAUUGUGGGAAGGUUGUCCAGAGUACGUUGGGCAUCUGUGGAGACCUCUUUAAAUAGAGGACAAAUUAAUGCAAUAAGCUGUCCCAGCAGAAUGCUCUAAUACCUUCCCAUUUCACUGGGAAGCCCUCUGUUAAUUCAAAGUAUACUAUUUUAUUUUUACUAUCUGCUUCUGUCUAUUGAUAUUUCAUUAACUGUAAUUGUAGUGGUUAAGCAGCUCCACACUUUACCAGCAGUCCUCUCUGCCAUUAGUCCAGUUAUACAUUUAUAUUCAGGUUGCAGAGGGUCUUGGUCACCACUGCAGGAUGGAAAGAUGAGAAUUCCUGCUCUGGAUCAAAUCAACGGUCCCUUAAGUCUUCUGAGAGCAGCUUCCAACAAAGGUGUGGAAUAUCCUGUGAUGGAUAAUUGAGAAGUAAAAGGGCAUGCAGGACAGGAUUUUUCUAAAAUAGUUGGAGCUGAUCUAACAUCAAAGCAUAAGGCUUAAUUAGUGUCUAGGGUCAUGGGAUUCCAGUGGAUUUUGAAAGUUUUUUGUUACACAUGAAGUUUUUUGUGCUUAGUAUGUUUCUUUUUGAUACAUGGUUCUCAUCUCUGAUCCAUUUCAAACAUAAACACAGGUGUACAGAUGAUGAGAAGAAGAAAUAAAACUAUUUCUUUGAAAUAUUAGUUAAUUAUGUUCAAAAUUCAGCAUUGGCUGAGUGAGGAGAUGUCUCUACUACCUCUUAAUGCCUCUAAAUCUCAGUAGGCUUCUCAGCAUUAGGCACUGUGAAUAGAUGUGUACAUAUAGCUGGAGGAAAACAUAAUUAUUAACAGUGUUUAGCAUAGCAGGCUUUGCUGAUUAUGGAAUCACUCAUUUUGUUUGAAUUCCAACACUUUAUAUAUGUUAUUUAUGUCUCUCUGGGCCAUCUUUCUGUGGUCCUGAGCUAUGGAGAGUUGGAAUAACCUGGGUACCCCUGGACACUUCACUGACAUCAUUCUAUCAACUAAUAUGUGUUACUGUAAAGUGUCUUUUGGAUAAAACCUUACACAACGGAAAGGACCACGACUUGUGUAAGCCCACACACACAGUGAAGGAUUUGGUGUUCAUUUCUGAUCUAAGUUUUCCUUGUAACUCUGUAAUAUUCAGUAUUUUGUUCACAAAAGUACUUGUACCCAUUUGGCAUUUUAUGGAAAAUAAUAAUAAUCUGUUAACAUCUAUUAAUAAAUUGAAAAUUGUGUCUUGUGUUUGGCUUUGGUUUUUUUUGUUGUUUUUAAAUAGGAAUUUUAAAACUUCUCAGGUAAUUCUAGGAGAACUUACACAUUUUGAUGUUUUGUGGGGUUCUUGUACUCCUUAUCAAAAGCUUACUGCAGUUGUCAGGAACAUCCUUAGCUUUUAGCCACUCUCCAGAAUUCCCAUUUACUUAUUACUUUUUUUCCAUUUUGGUAGUCACCAUGAAGUCCUCUUCUAUUUGCUUCUCUUGCUUUCUCUGUCUGUCCUGUCAGCACAUUGAGAGAGUCAUCUUCCAACCCUUCACCACGAAAGGUAAUUUCAUCUUACUGCAUGUUCGAAGGACAACACAACAAAUUAUUAGGAGACUGUCUUGUUUUGGGAGAGGAUGUUUUGGCUUAGCCAUUGUUUGGAGUAUUUUAUGAGGAGCAGGGUUGUGGGGACAGAGAAGAAGUUAUAUUACCUUUCCCCUUUGGAUUAAGGCUGAUGCUGGUCUGCCACGCUGCUUUUCCUUUAGAGGAAGACCCUGAGCUAUUUUUCUGUUGGUUUCAACAUUAAAAUACAGCAUAUCCCCCAAUCAAGCAUGUAGCAAAUUGUCUUGCAAGAAUCUUAUCAGCCUCAGAAGAGGCACUGAUCCAAAGUCUUCUUGGGGAAAUGCUACAGACACCUUCUUUUCUGCCUUGAGCUAUGCUUCAAAAUACAUUAAAAGUAAGUCAGUUCCAGCUAUUUUUAUGACUGGCCUAAUUUUGCUGGACAUUUCAGAGUCUUGCUGAGGACAUGCCUGUUUGACUUGAAUUCUGUUAUGUUUCUUUUUAUUGGAACAGCUCACUGCACUGCCCAGGGUUUUAAGCACUCUCCCUUUGGAACUACAGGGAUGCACCCAUGGGAUGCUGGUGCUUUCAGUAAGACACACUGCUGUUCCCUGGCAGGCAGUACAGGCAGGAGUGCCCAGGAGCAGGCGAGAUGAAGGUUACUGCACCCGAAGGAAACUGGCCGUGCACCCGCUGAGAAGUUCUGCCGGUUGGCCACCAGGUGGAAGCAGGGCUGCACUCGGGGAAUUGCAGGAACUGCAGCUCCUCCGGGGCUGCGCUCAGCUCCAAAACAAAGCGCAACAAAGCCCCUGCCCACCCCAGCAGAGUCGGGAUAAAGGCACCCACCAGCCUUGCAGGUGGGGUGAGCUGCAUCAGCACACUGCCGGCUCAGGCAGUGUGAUCACCUGGCUGGUCUGCCCUUACUGUAACCACCAGGAACAAUACUCAGAGCAUGUUUAUCUCCCACCAUCCCAGCUCUUCAUCACCACUUUUUCAUAAUUCUCUAACCUGAGGUUGCAGCUUCAGGACCAGCAAGUAGCAGCAGUGACUGUAAACUUUUUCUCUUAAAUAACAGAGGUGAGUUGUGUGAAUAGCCCUGUUCCUGUCAUUUUUGUUCACAUAUUUGCCCAGCCUAUGUCACUUCCGUGCCUUGGCAGACCCCUAUUAUGUUUUUGUCACUAGCUUGGUAAAAGUCUUCAUGUGCACCCACUGUCCAGCCACCAGAGCAAACAGAAGGGAUAAGGGGUGGGCUGUGCUAUAAACUUGGUGGUUAAGAAUGCUAAUUUAGAUUUCUCUUUCCUAUCUAGUUUCCAACAGUCAAAUGUAUAGAGAACCUUGCUGCUAUUACCAAGUUUGGCUGAAAAAUUCUGUACUUGACUAGUUAGGUGAGAGAGAGAGAGUAGAAACAGACAGAGAGCACCACAUGUACUUCUUCCCCUUCUUGCCUUUCUUGAUAAAGGCUGGACAGUUUUUGAAUAGAAACAAGAAUCGACUAUAUAUACUAAUUGAAGGACAUAGAGCUAUCAAAAAAACCAAAAAGCAUACCAGAGUUCCCAAAGUUAUGCUACAACCUUUAAGGGGAAAAAAUCUAAAGCUUUUGAACCUCUAUAAAUUCUGAAGUGAUAACUGACUUGUUGCACAGCUGAAGUUACUCCUCUGUGUUUGUACAACACGGGGUGGGGGAAGAGUGAAAAGCUUUUUUAUCUUACGAGCCUGAGAACCAAAUGUUUUUCUGAAUAUAGUAUUCAGAUACACCCCUUCUUCCUAUUUUUUGGCAUAUAUCACACACAUUUUUCUUUUGCUAUGUGCCAAUAAACCCCUGCUCCUGCUAAAAAAGUAACAUUCCACAAGGACAGGAGGAAGGUUUCACGCUGGACUUGCUCCUGUGAACUGCCACAUUUAAACCAGACUGCAGUCUCCCUCGCUGCCUCGCUAACAUAGCAGUAUCUCAGUAAAAUGAACAGUUACCCUUUUCUGCACCGCCACGAGAACUGACCCUGUCCCUGCUGGUAACUGAAAAUGGCAGGCUGAGUAAAACCAUGUCCAACACUGAACACUUAACUGGUGUGAGGACACUGUGAUAUACCAGGAUAACCAGGAAGAGUCUUCUCCCUGGGCAAAAGGAAAACAAUGUUUUAAAAAGUUACAUGUUUGUUACUGAGAAAUUUUAAGCAUGGACUAAAAAAGGAAUUUUAUAAAACUAAGACUUCUACAGCAGCACCCCCAUGUAUGCAGUAUUAUUCUACACUGAAAAGUGUAGCUUUGCCUCAUGCAAAAUUAACACCUUUCUUUUUAAUAAUACAGUUGGAAAUUAUGACUUUAUGAUACAGUUCCCAUAUUCACAAUUCCUGGAAAAAUUACACUGAACUUUUGUAGGCAGUUGAAAAGGAAGUUAUCCUUCUUCCAAAUUUACAUUAACCAGCAUAAUACAGAGGAGAAAGUCACUGUUCUGAAGUUAUUCAAAAGCAUAAAAAACCCCCAACCACCCAACUAAAAAAUACCACAGACAACCCCUUCUCCUACUUUGCUAUAUAAAGAUCAAUACACAGAGAAACUAUUCUGAGAAUUUUUUUUCUGUAUUUGAACUGGUAUAAAGGCCUUUAGUCUUUCCACUAUUUUUUAAAGCAGUUCAGUAUGAGGAAGCUGUGUAAAGGCUGGUUUGUUGUUUUUUUUUUCCCACAACAUCAAAAUGAUUUGUAUUUCCUCCAAGAACAGUCUCAACUGAAACUAAAUGAAGAAACA
This is a long non-coding RNA of Passer montanus (Eurasian tree sparrow), 8360 nucleotides long. RefSeq lists it as uncharacterized. The transcript has 2 exons. NCBI's taxonomy places the organism in Eukaryota, Metazoa, Chordata, Aves, Passeriformes, Passeridae. The record is from RefSeq and is a predicted model, not a curated record.